AGGCAGCAGUGGGGAAUAUUGCACAAUGGGGGAAACCCUGAUGCAGCCAUGCCGCGUGUGUGAAGAAGGCCUUCGGGUUGUAAAGCACUUUCAGCGAGGAGGAAAGGUUGGCGCCUAAUACGUGUCAGCUGUGACGUUACUCGCAGAAGAAGCACCGGCUAACUCCGUGCCAGCAGCCGCGGUAAUACGGAGGGUGCAAGCGUUAAUCGGAAUUACUGGGCGUAAAGCGCACGCAGGCGGUUGGAUAAGUUAGAU
Molecule: ribosomal RNA, 255 nt
Filed under: Aeromonas salmonicida
Lineage: Bacteria; Pseudomonadati; Pseudomonadota; Gammaproteobacteria; Aeromonadales; Aeromonadaceae
Description: partial 16S ribosomal RNA
Rfam family: Bacterial small subunit ribosomal RNA
Source: RNAcentral